This is a long non-coding RNA of Anneissia japonica, 377 nucleotides long. RefSeq lists it as uncharacterized. The record is from RefSeq and is a predicted model, not a curated record. The transcript has 3 exons. NCBI's taxonomy places the organism in Eukaryota, Metazoa, Echinodermata, Crinoidea, Comatulida, Comatulidae.
GUUGCUCAAGUUACUGCUGUAGAUCCUGAUUUGAAUAGCCCGCUGACCUCCAGAAUAACAUACAGAAUAACUGCUGGAAACAUUAAUAACAUUUUCACAAUAAAAUCUGACAGUGGCUAUGUCCACACGGCCAAGUUGCUUGAUUUUGAGACAAUGAGGGCGUUCUCACUCCAGAUUGAAGCCGCUGACGUUGAUGGAAGGCUUGGCUUUGCUACACUUAAUGUAACGGUACUAGAUGUUAAUGAUAAUGACCCUGUGUUUCCCAAUGGUCCUUAUGAAUUUUCUUUUCCAGAAAAUGUUGGAUCUGGGUACUAUGUUGGAAGAUGUAUAGCAGUAGAUAAUGAUGCUGGCAGCGACACUUCACAGAUAAUUUACAG